Molecule: transfer RNA, 92 nt
Filed under: Neolecta irregularis DAH-3
Lineage: Eukaryota; Fungi; Ascomycota; Neolectomycetes; Neolectales; Neolectaceae
Rfam family: tRNA
About the family: Transfer RNA (tRNA) molecules are approximately 80 nucleotides in length.
Source: Rfam by way of RNAcentral
GGCAACAUGGCAGAGUGGUUAAUGCGUAAGCCUCGAAUACACUGGAUAGCUUAUGGGAUCUUCCCGCGCAGGUUCAAAUCCUGCUGUUGUCG